Molecule: ribosomal RNA, 450 nt
Filed under: uncultured bacterium
Lineage: Bacteria
Description: partial 16S ribosomal RNA
Rfam family: Bacterial small subunit ribosomal RNA
Source: RNAcentral
GUGGGGAAUCUUCCGCAAUGGACGAAAGUCUGACGGAGCGACGCCGCGUGAGUGAAGAAGGCCUUCGGGUCGUAAAGCUCUGUCAUCAGGGACGAACGGCCGGUGGAGUGGAAAGCCACCGGAUUGACGGUACCUGAGAAGGAAGCCACGGCUAACUACGUGCCAGCAGCCGCGGUAAUACGUAGGUGGCAAGCGUUGUCCGGAAUUAUUGGGCGUAAAGCGCGCGCAGGUGGGAUCUUAAGUCCAUUUUUAAAGUUCGGAGCUCAACUCCGUGAUGUGAUGGAAACUGGGAUUCUUGAGUACCGGAGAGGAAAGCGGAAUUCCCCGUGUAGCGGUGAAAUGCGUAGAUAUGGGGAGGAACACCAGUGGCGAAGGCGGCUUUCUGGACGGUGUCUGACACUGAGGCGCGAAAGCUAGGGGAGCGAACGGGAUUAGAUACCCGGGUAGUCC